CACAAGCAAAUAAUAUAACAUAUGAUAUAAAUAUAUGUAAAACUAAAUGGUAUGUGUAAUAAGUAUGAGAGCAGAGAUGCAUCUAUUUUGUCUAUUUGUAGAAAAACAAAAUAAAAACAAAUGAUCAUGCGAGAAAUUCUGGAACAACUACUUAAGAAAAAAUACCUUUGUAAUAAUAACGUGGGCGUAAAUAUUAUAAGAUAUGAGUAAAAAAAUUAAUAACGCAAGUUUUAUAUAUUCUUUUUUAUAUUUUUUAUUAAAUUUUAUUUCAUCCAAAUUUUAAUCAGAAUUAUUACAAUUAUUAUUCGUUAGUUUUAAAUCAUCUUCAGCGAUACUUAUUUUUAUCUUGAUGAAUUGAUUAAUCGACAAAAUUAUCGCAUUUGGGAUUAAAAAAAUCCAUAAAUGAUUGUUGAGAAACAAAUGCAUCCAUAUGAACUAUUUUUGAACUAUUUUUUUUUUGAAAAUGUGGUUAGUUAGAUAAUAACAGUUAAUGGUGCCCGCUAUUUCGACAUGAUAAUCCAGUUUUUUUUAUGCCUAAAUUGUAAAAUAUGGACAACAUGUGGUUUCAAUAAGACAAUGCCAUAUUCCAUAUAAUCCGAAAAAUAAUUCAAUUACUACAUGAAUCAUUUCAUGAUCGUGUAAUUUCCCAUUUUGGUGAUCAAAAUUGACCUAGAUUGUAUGAUUUAAUAUCAUUAAAUUUUUUUUUGGGAUUUUUUAAAAGGUUUUUCUAAUGUUUAUGCCGAAAAGCUUACGAUCAGGUGAUAAUGAAAAUGAUGCUGCAGAUGAGAUUUGUAUUGUUUACAGGAAUGAUGCUAUAACUAUUAUGACCAUUUAUAAUUGGUUUAAGAGAUAGAACUUUUGAAUUUUGAAAAAUGAAGGACCCUAUAGCCCCCCAGCAACGAUAAAUACGGAUCUUAUUAAGGCUCGCUGAAAAUCCGCGAUACAGCGUGUAAGAGAUAAUGGAUGCCAUUAAUAUUUCCAGGAAAAUAAUAGAUAGUCAUCUGACCAAGAUGGGAUAUGUGAAUCAAUAUGAAAUUUGAGUUCCACAGCAACUAUUGACGAAAAUCGACUUUAUGAACCGCAUCUCUACGUGCGAUUUCCUUCUUCAGAGACAUGAAAGAGAUCCUUUUUUAAAGAGGCUUAUCACUGGAGAGUAGACUUGGAUUUUAUAUCAAAAUGCAUCAAAAAUGUACUUGAUUUAAGUAAACCUUCAACUAUCGCGAAGCCUAGACUUCAUCUGAAGAAAGUUCUUUUAUUCAUUUAUUGGGAUUGGAAAGGGCAUUGAUCAUCGGUAUUGUUUCCCGACCAUCUAUGAUUAUAAGAAGCACUUCGCCAUCUGAUAUAUUCUCAAUUUAUCCUUUUGGAAUAAGAUGAUAGGUAUGAAUGGCAAGUAUAUUUAAUAACUUUUUUCUAUACUAUUCCCAAGAUAGUUUCCAUCUUUAUAAUGGAUUAUGAUACGGAUCACGAAAAUUUUACUCUUUUAUUAUUGAUUCGAGGAUUACUUUGCUCUCAAUCAUUACUGUUUAUUUUAUUUGGGAAUUUUUACAUAACAAAAUCGAUUAAGUCAUCAUGAUGACGAAUGUGCUCUAUUUUGUAGUAUAUGCAUCGAAAGAGAAUAUGCGCGAGCAUUUCGUUAUAUAUUUAAUACUUUCUACAGAACAUAUAUUUGUUUGGGGAUGGCUCUGUUCAUUGCAACUUUAUUCCCUGUGAUAUCAAUCUAGAGCUGUCAGAUAUUGAUAGUUUUAACAGAGUUGGAUUAUAGUAGAACUAUAUAUUUUCUUUUUUGUCAUUGAUAAAGUUAUGUAUUGCUUUCCUUGGACAUACACUUCCAAUAUUUUAAUUCUCGCUUUUUUGCAUCUGCCUUCUACUUAUCGAUUCAUGUAACCGGUCAAUUGAGUCUGGUCAAGGUUUAAAUUUAUUUUUUAAUCCGCCCGUGCGAAGGCUUGAAUGAUCGAGAUUAUUAAGGAAAUAUAAUUCCUUUAAACUGAUGCUAAUGCAUAUAAUCUCCAGCUUUAGAAAUCUAAUUCCCCAUUUUUGUCCUCACAAAUAAAGUUCGUAAACGCUGAGUGAAGAAUAUUCUCGAAAAUUACUGUCAAAUUGCCUCAACAUUUUCACUAAUGCUACUGCAAUUAAAAAUAAUAGAGAUAAAUAGAAAGUAAAUUCACUUUCUGGGUUUUUUUUCUUAUGGCGUAAUUAACUUAUUCCAGAGAGUGAACCCAAAUAUCUCAAAUAUCUUAUUCGUGUUUCCGCAAAAGAUGCUUUCUACUAUUAAAAUAGAGAUCAAAAUCUUUCAUAUAAUAAGAAUCUCAUUAGUACAUCAAAAGAUUUAGAUGUUGAUAUGAACAUAUUUAAGAUAAGAUAAUUCUCCAUUAUUUUUAAGACAUUCCUGGCCAAGAAUUCGUUACUAGUAUUGGAUUAUCGGGGAAGGUCAAAGAAUAUAAAUAUUAUUCCUCGUUAUUAAUUUCAGGCUGUUUCUUCAACGCGAAGAGAAGUGGUUCUAAAAAUAUAUUGAAACACAGCAGGAUAAAGGAUUUCUACUUUACUCCAUGAAACAAACUGGACAAUUGACUUAUCGUAUUGCAUAUGAGUUUACAUAUCUUGGUCACUGACUGUACUGCUUGUGAAUGUCUUUUUCGUAGAAUAACAUAUGAAAUGUUUUUCUAAUAUCCAAUUGCAUUACAAUCAAACCUUCUUGGACUUUACUUUGUAAGAUUUCGGUCAGGAUGUGCAUAUUAUUAUAACAUCUUUUUUUCUGAUGUAAAACUCUUUUGAUAAGAGAUACUAUGUCUUAAAUUUUGUAUCGAUUAUAUAUAAAUCCAAUAUAAUCAAUAUAACAGAGAAUUGAUUAUGAGAGGAAUAUAAUUCUCGCAUUCAUUAUUUAAGAAAUAUUCGUUCUUUUUAAGAAAUAAGAAAUAAGUGCGAUUUCAAAAAAUAGGCUGCAAUUCAGUAAUUAUUAAAAGAUUAUACUUUCUAAAAAUAUUUACUAUUUCAUAAGAUAGUUGACAUUUUUUGAUCUCGUCAAGGCUAGGAACAAUGUCCAUUUUGAUUUUGAAUGAUCCGAUUUAGAUGAGCGUGAGAAAAAAUCAUUGAGAAAAAAAUAUUUCUCCAAAUCAUUCAAGUUAGACAGAUUUCUUUUAUAACUCUCAUACAUUUGCCUUACGUUGACUUGAAGAAAAAAUUUUUCUUGUACUCACUGCAAAUUUAAAAAAAACAUUUAAACAUUUAACAAGAAGGCCUCGAUUUUUCUUUAAAAAUUGUAGGUUUUAUAUAAAAGAGAUAUUGCUGAUAAAUCUUUCGCAAUCCUCUUCUUUUGGUCCUUCUCUGCCGGUAGAUACAAUAUCAGUUGGUAAUAUAUGAUCAAUUUUUUUCAAUACGAUGCUAUCCAUCUAUUGGUACCUAUCCAGAUGAUGGAUAAUUAAAUUAAAAUAAAUCCUUCCAUGAAUUUAAAAAAUUUUAAUAUCAUAAUUUCAAAAAAGAGUAUUACAAAAUUGGCAAAAGAAGAGGCAAAAAAAAAUUCUUGUCUCAAACUAAUUCUUACUGGCUUGUCAGUGAAAGAAAUAUUGAAAAAUCAAGGAA
Apis mellifera (honey bee) is the source of this 3576-nucleotide long non-coding RNA. RefSeq lists it as uncharacterized. The record is from RefSeq and is a predicted model, not a curated record. NCBI's taxonomy places the organism in Eukaryota, Metazoa, Arthropoda, Insecta, Hymenoptera, Apidae. The transcript is spliced from 2 exons.